Molecule: long non-coding RNA, 2991 nt
Organism: Ficedula albicollis (Collared flycatcher)
Lineage: Eukaryota; Metazoa; Chordata; Aves; Passeriformes; Muscicapidae
Source: Ensembl
CAGGUGAGCUGGCACUGUGCCCAUCGUGCCAACCCCGGCUCAGUCCCUGCAGUUCAGACACCCUCGCUCCCCCAUUCCCAUUUCAGUGGGUCCGGAUGCCUGGAUCCUGCCAGGUUCACAGGGUGGGGACAUCCCCAGGAAAGCUCCAGGAAAGCUCCACGGGGAGUUUCUCCCUUCUCGGCUCACCGGGAACGUCUCAUUUUGUACAACGUGCUACAGAGAGCCUCACGGCAAAUCCAGAGGUGCUGCCCCCUCAGAUCCGCAUUUUGGGAUGUAGGAAAGCCCCGAGGUUUGAGCUGGGACAUUGAAAGGGUGAGCAAUUUGCCUUUAAAGAGAGUUUUUGUAAGGGGAGUGGCACAGGGGUCGGGGGCAGGGUGUCCCAGCUGCUCCCCCCCAAAGGGACAAGCGCAGCCGGGCGAGGCUUUGCGGGAUCGCGGGGGCCGCGGCUACUCACGGCUCGGGCAUCGCGGCGUGUGCUGCUCCCUGCCGAAGAAAGGGGAAAGCUGGAGCGGAGCGCCGGGGCACCCGGGCCGGCCAGCGCCGGGGAGGGCUCCGCGCCCGGGGCACGGACGGGGCGCGGCUCCUGCUCCCGGCGCCCUGCCCGAGCUCCGAGCUGCUCCCCGCCCGCCCCAGCUCGGGAGGCUGGAAACCUCAGCAGAAAUGGGGGCGCCUCGGCGGUUCCCCCGUUGUGUCGGCUCAGGGAGGCCUGUUCUGCAGCUCCCGUGGGCAACAGCGGGGAAGGGAGAGCCAAAACCCACCCGGGGAGUGCCAGAGCAAAGGGCAGCACCUCUGCUCUGGAGCCAGGCUGAGGGCUGGGGGUGUCCAGGCUGGAGAAGAGAAGGAUCCAGGGACACCUGAGAGCCCCUUCCAGCACCUAAAGGGGCUCCAAGAGAGCGGGAGAGGGACUGGGGAUGAGGGAUGGGAGGGACAGGCCUCCCCCCCCCCCCCCCCCCCCCCCCCCCCCCCCCCCCCCCCCCCCCCCCCCCCCCCCCCCCCCCCCCCCCCCCCCCCCCCCCCCCCCCCCCCCCCCCCCCCCCAGAGGGCAGGGAUGGGUGGGAUAUUGGGAAGGCAUUCUUGGGUGUGAGGGCCUGGCACAGGUGCCCAGAGCAGCUGUGGCUGCCCCAAAUCUGGAAGUGUCCAAGGCAGGGUGGACAGGGCUUGAAACAGCCUGGGGUAGUGGGAGGUGUCCCUGCCCAUGGCAGGAGCAGGACUGGAUGGCUUUAAGGUCUCUCCCAACCCAAAUGAUUCUGGGGUUCUCUAAGUCAGUGCCCACAGCUGAGCAGGUUCCUUCAGCAGCCACAUUCCAGGUGCAACACUCAGGGUUUCCUAUUUAGCGUUUGCCUGGUGAUCCCAAGCCCUGGCAGCAGCUCCAGCCCACGCUGCUCCUCUAACCCUGCUCUGGCCCCGCUGAUCCCUCCUGUGCUGAGCAGCUGGGGCACCCUGUGAGCCCAAGCAGCGGAAAAACGGGGGAGGAAAUACCAAUCCCUAUCCCUUUAAAUUUUUUUAAUUUUUUUUUUCCCCUCAAACAGCAUUUUCCAGGAGUGAAAUGGACAAGCUGUGAUUUUUUGCCUUGAUCCUUUUGCAUCCUCCCAAAUUUUGAAAUUUGGAAACUGUUUUAGACCCCAAAGAUUCAUGCUGGGGGAAAUGAAAAGCUGGUUCCAAACAGCUGCUCCCAGAUUUGUGGGGAGCCUGUGCCAAGCAAAUCUCAGGGCACCUCCUGACUCUGUCCCCUUGUCCCUAUUCCCUUCCCAUGCCCCUACAGCUCAUCCAGAGACAUGUCCUGAAUAAAUGGAAUUUGGGGAGGGGGAAUGUAAUAAAAUCCCAGCAGGAAUCAUCACCCCCAGAGCCUCCCAGUCCAGAUGCCUGGAUUUACAAGGAAAAAUCCAAAGGACAGAAAUUUCUUUGUCCUCAAACCACAUCAGACAGAUCCUGUUUCCUGCCUUUGUGGAGGUUUUUGGUGCUGUGAGAAACAUCCCAGAGGACACCAAGCAGCACUGGUGCCUUGAGCAGGCUGGGUCCCAGCUGCUGGCCCCCAGUUUAUUUUGGGGGUGGCAGAGGAGCCUUUUUCUCCCUGGAGCUGAGGACUAGGCACAGCUUCUCAGCAUUUCCAUUGUCCCCCUCUGGAGCAGAGCCCAGCAUUCCUUGGGGUGGAAUCCACACCACACCUCCAGCUCAUGACCUCUACCAAGGUCAGUCACAUUUUAGGGCCAAAUAGUCGUAAAUUGGCAUCCCAAACAACAGCAAGGACUUGGCUGUUGUGCCAGUGAGACAUCCCCAGCAAUCCCCAGUGCCAGGACUUCUGGACUCCAGCUGAAUCUCGAGCAUCCAUGAGAGACUUCACUCCCUGAUGGAGACAAGAGGAUCUGGACAAGCUAAUUUUGCACUAUUUGCACUGUCCCAGCUGUAAAAAGUUUAUAAAGAUUAUUGAACCACUGGAUCAUGUAAAUCCUUAAAGGAAAUAAUCCCAUAAACCCAAACACAGUGAAUCCUGACAUCUUUCCCCAUCCCAGGAGGCUGGAGACAAACCACAAGCACUCUCCCAGCUACCCCAACUCCACACUCUGUUCUCAUCCUGAACCUCCCACCAGUGAGCCAGGCUGGAACUCUUGGGCAAGUGCUCCCCAAACAGUCCUGUUUGCCACGUUGUGGAAAAAACCAGACAAAUAUCAGCUCCAAAGUCUUUGUCCCCAUUGCAGCUUCACCAAUCCUCUCUCCAAGAGCAGAGGAAAUGUCUGAUCCACCUCAGAGAGGGGGAGAAAUUCAGGCAAAUUCACAUGCUGGGAGUUCCUCUCUAUCAUAUGCAGGUGCCAGGUCUUGUGCCCGUGUCACCAGCAGCACACCCAGAGGGGAUCUGGGGCAGUGGCAGUGGCAUGGCUGUGGCAGGGGCAGUGGCAUGGCAGUGGCAGUGGCAUGGCAAUGGCAGUGGCAGUGGCACCCCCCCCCCCCCCCCCCCCCCCCCCCCCCCCCCCCCCCCCCCCCCCCCCCCCCCCC